Small nucleolar RNA from Tripterygium wilfordii, 73 nucleotides. RefSeq annotates it as small nucleolar RNA snoR60. Lineage: Eukaryota; Viridiplantae; Streptophyta; Magnoliopsida; Celastrales; Celastraceae. The transcript has a single exon. The record is from RefSeq and is a predicted model, not a curated record.
AUACAUAUGGUGAUUUUUACUCGGAUUCCCCUUAAGGACUUUAGGGAUGAUGUGAGUUCGAGUUUCUGAUGCA